This 800-nucleotide ribosomal RNA is filed under the name uncultured Verrucomicrobiota bacterium. RNAcentral's name for it is "bacterial SSU rRNA". It matches the Rfam family "Bacterial small subunit ribosomal RNA", at positions 67 to 873 of the family's 1533-position model. Lineage: Bacteria; Pseudomonadati; Verrucomicrobiota. The record is from RNAcentral.
CGGGAAUUUAUUUGUAGCAAUACCGAUAAAUUCUAGUGGCGAACGGGUGCGUAACACGUGAGCAAUCUGCCGGGAAGUGGGGGAUAACUCGCCGAAAGGCGAAUUAAUACCGCAUAUGGCCAAGGAGGACAUCCUCUUGAAGCCAAAGUCGCAAGACGCUUCCUGAUGAGCUCGCGGCCUAUCAGCUAGUUGGUAAGGUAAUGGCUCACCAAGGCUAUGACGGGUAGCUGGUCUGAGAGGACGACCAGCCACACUGGAACUGAGACACGGUCCAGACACCUACGGGUGGCAGCAGUCGAGAAUUUUUCACAAUGGGGGAAACCCUGAUGGAGCGACGCCGCGUGGAGGAUGAAGGUUUUCGGAUUGUAAACUCCUGUCAAAUGGGAACAAGAAAGUGAUAGUACCAUUAGAGGAAGAGACGGCUAACUCUGUGCCAGCAGCCGCGGUAAUACAGAGGUCUCAAGCGUUGUUCGGAUUCAUUGGGCGUAAAGGGUGCGCAGGCUGUGGGGUAAGUCGGAUGUGAAAUCUAGGGGCUCAACCUCUAAACUGCAUUCGAUACUGCUUCGCUAGAGGACUGUAGAGGAGAUUGGAAUUCACGGUGUAGCAGUGAAAUGCGUAGAUAUCGUGAGGAAGACCAGUGGCGAAGGCGAAUCUCUGGGCAGUUCCUGACGCUCAUGCACGAAGGCCAGGGGAGCAAACGGGAUUAGAUACCCCGGUAGUCCUGGCAGUAAACGGUGCACGUUUGGUGUGGGAGGAUUCGACCCCUUCCGUGCCGGAGCUAACGCGUUAAACGUGCCGCC